GCACCCUGACCCUUGCUCCAGCGCCCCUCCCCCGUCUCGGGGCUCCCACUCACCUGGCGCCGGUGCCGGCGCACCCGCGCCCCGCGCGCGCACCCUCCAGGCGGCCCGGGUGUCAGGGCGCGCAGCCGCAUGGCCGCCCUGGCCCCCGCGGAGAGCCGGGCCGGGCGAGGAAGGCAGAGGCAGGCGCGGACACCUCUCCGGCGGCGGUGCCAGGCAGGUAUGCCUCCUGAGCCCCUGCGCCUCGGCGUCAGGAAAAGUUCGACCCCGUGAGCCCCGGAAAGAAGCGGCCGCCAACUCCAAGUCCACUCUGCCGUCAGAAGUCAGAUGCCGGGAACAAAAGCCAGAAGAGAUCCCUAAGAACGCACAUCUGUAUCAGAUUCAUUUGAGUCCCCAACAUCUAACACAAGAUGGAGCCCAGAGCCGCGUCUGCAAGCUGAGCUAGAAGCACAUGAUUCUGCUGUCUGGGGGCGCACGAUGCAAACACUUCUUCCAGACGUCAGCUGGAUCGAUCACCAGUCUCACCCAUGGAACCAGCAGAAGGAACCUGAAUGCCAGCAAAGAACAGGGAAAACAGCAAGUCUGCGACAGAGCCGGCUGGCCAUGCCAGCCUGAGCGACCGUGGCCUUCGAUGGGACACACCCACCAUGAGAGCACGGCUCUACCGUCGGUGCUCCUGCAGAGGCACAGCCUGACCCUGAUCUUGACCAGGUAUCACCAGAUCCGAGCGAGGGACACAGGGGCCAAAAUCUGGGGUCCCUGGGAGCUGAGCGUGGAGGGUCCAUCUGCUGGCUAGAUACACCCUCAUUCCCAGCCCCAGAGUCUGCAGUGGGGGUCACCAAACACUCCGGGCAAAUGACUCCCGUCUUCACCCCUCCAUCCGCAUCACACAGAAGAUCCGCCACGGGCCGGUCACACCCAUCCAUGGCUCUGUGACGCCAAGUGCCAAGGUGUUUCCAAGAACCACCUAAAGCACUUUCAAAAGCACUUUGCUUCUGGCAACAAAAGAGACUCUUGCUUGAGCUUUUUUUAA
Aethalodelphis obliquidens (Pacific white-sided dolphin) is the source of this 1030-nucleotide long non-coding RNA. RefSeq lists it as uncharacterized. Lineage: Eukaryota; Metazoa; Chordata; Mammalia; Artiodactyla; Delphinidae. The record is from RefSeq and is a predicted model, not a curated record. The transcript has 3 exons.